This is a long non-coding RNA of Electrophorus electricus (electric eel), 177 nucleotides long. NCBI's taxonomy places the organism in Eukaryota, Metazoa, Chordata, Actinopteri, Gymnotiformes, Gymnotidae. The record is from Ensembl.
UUCUGAACUGUCAUUUUCGAAGGUUGAGCGGACUGCAGAUACGCGUGUUUAAAGGGGUUCCACAGAUAUGCACAACUACAGCAUCCUGAGAUCAGUCCUGAUGGGUCUACUGAUCUUAGCUGACAUGUUCGGGUCUGGUCACAUGGACUGUGUCCUGUAAACCACAUGGCAUUCUGG